This 381-nucleotide unclassified non-coding RNA is filed under the name soil metagenome. Its description in RNAcentral is "partial contains 5.8S ribosomal RNA, internal transcribed spacer 2, and large subunit ribosomal RNA". The stretch from base 1 to 121 matches the Rfam family "5.8S ribosomal RNA", at positions 35 to 154 of the family's 154-position model. The record is from RNAcentral.
GAUGAAGAACGCAGCGAAAUGCGAUAAGUAAUGCGAAUUGCAGAAUUUCCGUGAGUCAUCGAGUCUUUGAACGCACAUUGCGCCUCAUGGUAUUCCGUGAGGCAUGCCUGUCUGAGCGUCAACAACACCACUCAAGCAUUGCUUUCUUGCUCUGCUUGGUCCAUGUCAGGGAAGCGGUUGGGCCUGUCCAACUGCCCCUUGAAAAGCAAUAGAUGGUCAGGUUGUCACCUUAAGCCAAACGUCAUAUGAUUCUUAUCGUUCGUUUGUCUAUCUGACUUCUUGACAGUUGUUGAACCCAACAGCACCAUGCUGUUUAUUCUGACUUGACCUCAGAUCAGGUAGGGAUACCCGCUGAACUUAAGCAUAUCAAUAAGCGGAGGA